This 876-nucleotide long non-coding RNA is filed under the name Heterocephalus glaber (naked mole-rat). RNAcentral's name for it is "lncRNA (ENSHGLG00100042874.1)". Lineage: Eukaryota; Metazoa; Chordata; Mammalia; Rodentia; Bathyergidae. The record is from RNAcentral.
UUAAAUCAUGGUUUCCUGCUUGUCUGCUCCCCAGACUAAACUGAAGAAGUCAAAUGGCAGAAAACACAUUUUUUAAAGAAAAAAAAUAGUCUGGAUGAAGGAUGAGAGUGACCCAGAGUGACUGAAUUGGCAGCCCCAAGCCUAAGGCACAGUGACAAGACCUGGAUCAUCUGAACCUUCCCUUUACUCCCAGACUACAUGAGCCUUUGUGAAGGCAUACAUAUCUCUCUCCUUCCCUGUUUCGGUCACUUCUUUUCUUCAUCUUUCUCUCCUCGGGUCCUCCACCACAAACUAGAAGUCCACUCUUUUCCCUGUUUUUAGAAGUCAGUUCCUGGUUCCCUAUUCCUCGAGAAUAUGCUAAUACAUACCUCUUGUACCCCUUGACUUUUUCACAGGUUGUUUUAAGGGUUUCUUCUGCUGGUGUUUUUUCUUCUCUUUAUGUUUCAUGGUUCAACUCUUCGCAGAAUUGCUGAUAUCAACCCAGCCCGGAGCUCCAGUCGGGAGGGAGAUCGCGGUUUGCGUCGGAUGGGUUUGAGGUUUCUCUGCUCAAUCAGAGUCCCCGGCUGUGCGCAGCCCGCCCUGCUGCACGGAGGCUCAGGACACACGCGCGCACCCGGCCUUCACCCGGACCGAGACCCCAGCCAGCGCGGCGUCAGCGAGGGGACACCGCUCCCCGCGCUGCCCGACCGCGCCCGGCCCGGGCAGCUGCUCCUAGGCUCCACAAGGACCGCCCCUCCCGCCCUGCCCCCAGGCGUAGCCUCGGAGUGGCGGUGGUGAGGACAACAGGACCUGUGGAGGGCCUCUGGGCGCCCCAAUUCAGGUCCCGCGCAUGCAUGCCUCAAACCCCAGGCAGAGUCGUCAUCCUUGCGGCUCGGG